This is a non-coding RNA of Favolaschia claudopus, 110 nucleotides long. Lineage: Eukaryota; Fungi; Basidiomycota; Agaricomycetes; Agaricales; Mycenaceae. The record is from the annotation of a GenBank genome assembly.
GGCGCGAUGGCUGAGUGGUUAAAGCGACAGAUUCGAAUUAAGCAAUAGUUCCAAAAGUGCCAUUCAUCUGUUCCACUUUGUGGGCGUAGGUUCAAAUCCUGCUCGCGUCG